RNAcentral lists this ribosomal RNA (497 nucleotides) under uncultured bacterium. RNAcentral's name for it is "partial 16S ribosomal RNA". It matches the Rfam family "Bacterial small subunit ribosomal RNA", at positions 28 to 507 of the family's 1533-position model. The record is from RNAcentral.
GAUGAACGCUGGCGGCGUGCCUAAUACAUGCAAGUCGAGCGAACAGAUGAGGAGCUUGCUCCUCUGACGUUAGCGGCGGACGGGUGAGUAACACGUGGAUAACCUACCUAUAAGACUGGGAUAACUUCGGGAAACCGGAGCUAAUACCGGAUAAUAUAUUGAACCGCAUUGUUCAAUAGUGAAAGACGGUUUUGCUGUCACUUAUAGAUGGAUCCGCGCCGCAUUGGCUAGUUGGUAAGGUAACGGCUUACCAAGGCAACGAUGCGUAGCCGACCUGAUAGGGUGAUCGGCCACCCUGGAACUGAGACACGGUCCAGACUCCUACGGGAGGCAGCAGUAGGGAAUCUUCCGCAAUGGGCGAAAGCUUGACGGAGCAACGCCGCGUGAGUGAUGACGGUCUUCGGAUCGUAAAACUCUGUUAUUAGGGAAGAACAAAUGUGUAAGUAACUAUGCACGUAUUGACGGUAACUAAUCAGAAAGCCACGGCUAACUACGUG